GUGGGGAAUUUUGGACAAUGGGCGCAAGCCUGAUCCAGCAAUGCCGCGUGCAGGAAGAAGGCCUUCGGGUUGUAAACUGCUUUUGUACGGAACGAAAAGGCUCUGGUUAAUACCUGGGGCUCAUGAUGGUACCGUAAGAAUAAGCACCGGCUAACUACGUGCCAGCAGCCGCGGUAAUACGUAGGGUGCAAGCGUUAAUCGGAAUUACUGGGCGUAAAGCGUGCGCAGGGGGGUUUGUAAGACAGAGGUGAAAUCCCCGGGCUCAACCUGGGAAUUGCCUUUGUGACUGCAAGGCUGGAGUGCGGCAGAGGGGGAUGGAAUUCCGCGUGUAGCAGUGAAAUGCGUAGAUAUGCGGAGGAACACCGAUGGCGAAGGCAAUCCCCUGGGCCUGCACUGACGCUCAUGCACGAAAGCGUGGGGAGCAAACAGGAUUAGAAACCCCGGUAGUCC
This 450-nucleotide ribosomal RNA is filed under the name uncultured bacterium. RNAcentral describes it as "partial 16S ribosomal RNA". It matches the Rfam family "Bacterial small subunit ribosomal RNA", at positions 354 to 796 of the family's 1533-position model. The record is from RNAcentral.